Molecule: ribosomal RNA, 253 nt
Filed under: uncultured bacterium
Lineage: Bacteria
Description: partial 16S ribosomal RNA
Rfam family: Bacterial small subunit ribosomal RNA
Source: RNAcentral
UACAGAGGCCUCGAGCGUUAGGCGGAAUCACUGGGCUUAAAGCGUGUGUAGGCGGAUGCCUAAGUACCUUGUGAAAUCCCACGGCUCACCCGUGGAACGGCUGGGUAUACUGGGUGUCUUGAGCCACUUAGGGGCUGCCGGAACAAAUGGUGGAGCGGUGAAAUGCGUAGAUAUCAGGAGGAACACCUGCGGUGUAGACGGCUUUCUGGACCAUUGCUGACGCUGAGACACGAAAGCGUGGGUAGCAAACAGG